This 395-nucleotide ribosomal RNA is filed under the name uncultured bacterium. RNAcentral describes it as "partial 16S ribosomal RNA". It matches the Rfam family "Bacterial small subunit ribosomal RNA", at positions 523 to 918 of the family's 1533-position model. The record is from RNAcentral.
AUACGUAGGGUGCAAGCGUUAAUCGGAAUUACUGGGCGUAAAGCGUGCGCAGGCGGUUUUGUAAGACAGUGGUGAAAUCCCCGGGGUCAACCUGGGGACUGCCUUUGUGACUGCAAGGCUAGAGGACGGCAGAGGGGGAUGGAAUUCCGCGUGGAGCAGUGAAAUGCGUAGAUAUGCGGAGGAACACCGAUGGCGAAGGCAAUCCCCUGGGCCUGUACUGACGCUCAUGCACGAAAGCGUGGGGAGCAAACAGGAUUAGAUACCCUGGUAGUCCACGCCCUAAACGAUGUCAACUGGUUGUUGGGUCUUCAUUGACUCAGUAACGAAGCUAACGCGUGAAGUUGACCGCCUGGGGAGUACGGCCGCAAGGUUGAAACUCAAAUGAAUUGGCGGGG